Micropterus dolomieu (smallmouth bass) is the source of this 1002-nucleotide long non-coding RNA. RefSeq lists it as uncharacterized. The record is from RefSeq and is a predicted model, not a curated record. The transcript has 3 exons. Lineage: Eukaryota; Metazoa; Chordata; Actinopteri; Centrarchiformes; Centrarchidae.
CACUGUACCACUUACACAAACAUACAAGUAAUAAGUGUUUAAAUGCAAUUUAUUUUCUGUUUCUGCAGCUUGAACCUGUGUUCCAAAGGACAUUCCCUUCCUCCUUUAAGUCCUUGGAUGUGGUGUCAUUCAGAAAUGGCUCAAUCAUCAGCGAAAUGAACGUUCUCUUUGCAAGCACAUUUGUUCCUAAUAACACUCAGAUUUCGAGCGCUUUGAUCAGUGCUGCUUCAGUCGUCACCGGCUUUGACAUUGAAGGCAGUUCCAUCAACGUGAACGGCACACCAUCAAGUGGAGUAAGCCACAAGAUCAGUUUCAUUACCGCAUCCUGCCUGGUACUGUUGUCCUGGAUUUUCUCAAGCCAGCAAUAGCUUCAGUGCUGAAUUCCAUUUCAUUGCUAUCAGAACAUGAAUGCCAUCACUGGUAUGAAAAGGGACUUUGUUGUUAAUAGUCCAAGAUUCAAUAUUGGUUUUGGUCUUUGGUCUUGUAUGGCUUCGGAUGACCUUACAAUCAAAUGUACCUUUCCCUGACCGGAACUAUUAAUGACUAUGAAUUAGGUUUGUCUGUCGAACACUUUAAGCACCCGGUCCACUGAAUUGUGAUAAAAUAAAAAGCUCAACCAAAUAACAGUAUUUAUUAAGCCCUGGGAUGUCAAUUAUUAUUUGCAAUAUUUUACUAUUUAUGUCAAAUGUAAUAUAUAUAGUACAUGCAUUUUGGUUCUCUGGGCACUGUACUAUAAAAAUAUUUAACUUUGUGUAAAAAUCACUCUCACCAUUGCUUGAAUGUAGUUUCCAAAAGCAUGUAAAAUUCAUGUUUAGGUUUCACUUGCUAACCUAGCUGCAUGACAUACUAGCAUAACAUAGCAGCACGAACAUAGCAACAUAACAUAGGAUAACAACACAACAUGGUCAUUGUAUAAAUUAUAUAUAUGUAUAAACAACGCUUUGUCAAUUUUUUUUAUUUAUGCAAAGUUUAUUUAUGUAAUCAUAUGUAAAGCUGUAUUCU